RNAcentral lists this ribosomal RNA (421 nucleotides) under uncultured microorganism. RNAcentral describes it as "bacterial SSU rRNA". It matches the Rfam family "Bacterial small subunit ribosomal RNA", at positions 9 to 430 of the family's 1533-position model. The record is from RNAcentral.
GAGUUUGAUCCUGGCUCAGAUUGAACGCUGGCGGCAUGCCUUACACAUGCAAGUCGAACGGCAGCAUGAUCUAGCUUGCUAGAUUGAUGGCGAGUGGCGAACGGGUGAGUAAUACAUCGGAACGUGCCCUGUAGUGGGGGAUAACUAGUCGAAAGAUUAGCUAAUACCGCAUACGACCUGAGGGUGAAAGUGGGGGACCGCAAGGCCUCAUGCUAUAGGAGCGGCCGAUGUCUGAUUAGCUAGUUGGUGGGGUAAAGGCCCACCAAGGCGACGAUCAGUAGCUGGUCUGAGAGGACGAUCAGCCACACUGGGACUGAGACACGGCCCAGACUCCUACGGGAGGCAGCAGUGGGGAAUUUUGGACAAUGGGCGAAAGCCUGAUCCAGCAAUGCCGCGUGUGUGAAGAAGGCCUGGUGUAAGU